This 433-nucleotide ribosomal RNA is filed under the name uncultured bacterium. RNAcentral describes it as "bacterial SSU rRNA". It matches the Rfam family "Bacterial small subunit ribosomal RNA", at positions 954 to 1402 of the family's 1533-position model. The record is from RNAcentral.
GAUUAACGCGAAGAACCUUACCUCGGCUUGACNUGCACGUGGUACCAACCCGUAAGGGAAGGGACCCGCGAGGGAGCGUGCACAGAUGCUGCAUGGCUGCCGUCAGCUCGUGCCGUGAGGUGUUGGGUUAAGUCCCGCAACGAGCGCAACCCUUGUCCUUAGUUGCCUUCUCUAAGGAGACCGCCGGUCUAAACCGGAGGAAGGUGGGGAUGACGUCAAGUCAGCACGGCCCUUACGUCCUGGGCGACACACACGCUACAAUGGCCGGUACAACGGGCUGCCAAGGGGCGACCUGGAGCUAAUCCCACCAAAGCCGGUCUCAGUUCGGAUCGCAGGCUGCAACUCGCCUGCGUGAAGUCGGAGUUGCUAGUAACUGCUGGUCAGCACACAGCAGUGAAUACGUUCCCGGGCCUUUACACACCGAAUCACUAGU